RNAcentral lists this ribosomal RNA (427 nucleotides) under uncultured bacterium. Its description in RNAcentral is "bacterial SSU rRNA". It matches the Rfam family "Bacterial small subunit ribosomal RNA", at positions 355 to 774 of the family's 1533-position model. The record is from RNAcentral.
UGGGGAAUAUUGGACAAUGGGCGAAAGCCUGAUCCAGCCAUGCCGCGUGUGUGAAGAAGGUCUUCGGAUUGUAAAGCACUUUAAGUUGGGAGGAAGGGCUGCAAGCUAAUACCUUGUAGUUUUGACGUUACCAACAGAAUAAGCACCGGCUAACUUCGUGCCAGCAGCCGCGGUAAUACGAAGGGUGCAAGCGUUAAUCGGAAUUACUGGGCGUAAAGCGCGAUUAGGUGGUUUGGUAAGAUGGAUGUGAAAUCCCCGGGCUCAACCUGGGAAGUGCAUCCAUAACUGCCUGACUAGAGUACGGUAGAGGGUGGUGGAACUUCCUGUGUAGCGGUGAAAUGCGUAGAUAUAGGAAGGAACACCAGUGGCGAAGGCGACCACCUGGACUGAUACUGACACUGAGGUGCGAAAGCGUGGGGAGCAAACA